UGUUUCGGCUAGGGGGUCAUCCCGACUUACCAACCCGAUGCAAACUGCGAAUACCGAAGAAUGUUAUCACGGGAGACACACGGCGGGUGCUAACGUCCGUCGUGAAGAGGGAAACAACCCAGACCGCCAGCUAAGGUCCCAAAGUCAUGGUUAAGUGGGAAACGAUGUGGGAAGGCACAGACAGCCAGGAUGUUGGCUUAGAAGCAGCCAUCAUUUAAAGAAAGCGUAAUAGCUCACUGGUCGAGUCGGCCUGCGCGGAAGAUGUAACGGGGCUAAACCAUGCACC
Molecule: ribosomal RNA, 286 nt
Filed under: Citrobacter freundii
Lineage: Bacteria; Pseudomonadati; Pseudomonadota; Gammaproteobacteria; Enterobacterales; Enterobacteriaceae
Description: partial 23S ribosomal RNA
Rfam family: Bacterial large subunit ribosomal RNA
Source: RNAcentral